UAUCUCUGUAGAGUCUGCAUAUCAAUAAGCGGAGGAAAAGAAACUAACAUAGGAUUCCCUUAGUAACGGCGAGUGAAGCGGGAAGAGCUCAAAUUUGAAAUCUUCAAGGGUUCUACCUUUACGAAUUGUAGUUUAAAGAAGUGUUUUCUGUUGGAGUUUCGGUAAAAGUUCUUUGGAAUAGGACAUCAUAGAGGGUGAGAAUCCCGUAUUUGACCGUUACUUUCCAGCUGUGUGAUACACUUUCAAAGAGUCGGAUUGUUUGGGAAUGCAGUCCAAAAUGGGUGGUAAAUUUCAUCUAAAGCUAAAUAUUGGCGAGAGACCGAUAGCGAACAAGUACCGUGAGGGAAAGAUGAAAAGAACUUUGAAAAGAGAGUUAAACAGUACGUGAAAUUGUCAAAAGGGAAGCGUUUGACACCAGUGUUGUUUAGUUGAAAAUCAAUUCAAUAAUUUUUGAUUCUAAGUAGUAUUGACUUCAUCAGCUUGCUGCUUUCUUCUCAGAAAUUAUUUAAUGCACUUUUCAGUUAACAAGUCAACAUCAAUUUCUUUUGUUGUAAAAGGGUAAGAGGAAGGUGGCUUACCUUCGGUGCUCAAGUGUUUAUAGCCUUUUAUCUCUGCAAUCGGAGAGAUUGAGGUCAUGCAGCGUAGACUCCUUCGGGGUUAGAUACAUUGUGCUAAGCUAUAGCCUUGUAUAGACAACUUGUUGACUAUGCUCAGUCAUGUAGCUUACUCGCUGUAUGCUAUUUUACCUACGCUUAGGAUGUUGAACGCGCACAGAGUCUC
Molecule: ribosomal RNA, 780 nt
Filed under: uncultured Neocallimastigales
Lineage: Eukaryota; Fungi; Neocallimastigomycota; Neocallimastigomycetes; Neocallimastigales
Description: partial large subunit ribosomal RNA
Rfam family: Eukaryotic large subunit ribosomal RNA
Source: RNAcentral